CUUGGAUCUAGGUUUCUCUAUUGUACAUGCAAGUUAUCCAAGACUAUAAACCCUAAUUCUAGCAUAUGGGAAUCGAUAUUAACAUAAGAAUAGGUUUAUAAUAUUACCUUGAUUGUUAUGUAGCAAUAACAAUCCCAAUUCCUCCUUGAAUUGACUUUGGAAGGCUUAGAGUCACAAGUGUCACUCCUUUAAUGGCUUACAAACACCAAGAGCAAAUGGAGAAGGUAUAAAGAGAGAGGAGAGGUAUAAGAAUUCAUCUCUAGGACCUCUUUGGAAGGCAUGGACGAAUUCAUGAGCCCUGAGGGUCUUUAUAUAGGUGUAGAGAUAGGGUUUCAGUCCUUAUCCUUAUCUAGUUGCUUGUCCACCAAGCAACCCAUAAGAUAAGCCUUGAAUCCUUAUCAUGGUCGAAUUCUAAGUCCUUAUCACCUCAAAUUCGUCCAACCUAUCCUUAGGAUAAUCCUUACCCUAUUUUGUAACUAUCACAUAAUUACAAUUCAGCCCCUCUAGUUUAAUUAAUUACAUUUGAUCACAAAAUUAAUUCUUAAUUAAUUAUUGACCAAUAUUAAUUAAACAAAUAUGAUUUCUCCUUUAAUAUAUUAUUCUUAUAACAUAUUAAUAAAUCAUAAUAACCUCUCUCUCUAUUUAUUUCUCCAAUCAAGUUGCUUUGGUGAAGGCAACCCAAAAGGACCAUGCACCAUCGGGUCAAGUACAUACCAAAAUAGUUAUGGACUUAGACACUAAUCCAACAGUCUCCCACUUGGAUAAGUCUAAUAACUAUUCUGCGUAUGACUUCAGAUCCUGAUCUGCAAUCGUAGCUUUCCAAAGCCGCUGUCAACUCUGAUCCUAUCAGAUACGCGUGUCCUUAAGUAAGGGAUCAUAUAUUCCUCCAUUCUAGAUAUCAUAUGAGAUAUGAUUUCAAAUCAUUCUCUUUGUACUAUAUCUCGAUUCCCGAUUUAUGACGACUGACUAAUUGAACAAAUCAAAUUAGCCCUAGCCCGGCCGAGCAUUUACGUUUGUCAUCACUAAAUCAUCGAGGGGCCCAAAGAUAUCGCUUUUAUCCUACUUUGGAUAAAAGGAACGGAUAAACUUUGAUACAAUGCUUGCUUGCACUCACUCACCGAAUCACACACAACAAUAUGUUUUAUAACACCAAGUUACUAGUGCGUUUACAUAUUAUCAAUGUGCAACCGAUUUGCAAGAUACAACUCACACAUCUCGGUUUCAAGAAUAUAAGAUGUUAUCGUCUCACCAAUCACUCGUGAUACAAUUCAUGGAGUGAUCCAAGUGAGCGUGGGUUUAAUCCAAUGCUCAAAUCAUAUUCAUAAGCACUCAUGAACGUUGCAGCAAACAUUUGCUUAUGUCUAAUACUCUUUUAGACAAUCCACACACCAAUUCACGACAGUCUUCAUUCAUAUCUACUUCCAACAUAUGAACGACUGUGGCCCGUUCGAAUAAUUCGAUUAUUCUUAAUAAACUCAAUUAUUCUGGAAGUCAAAACAUGCAAAUGUGAAACACAAGAAUAAUACUAAUCCCAUAUGGCCUCAAACCUUUGAGUAUAAAUAAAACACCUUUUAUUUAUCACCAUAUUGAUUACUCAUUAUUUGUCGUUUCGGGUAAUCAACUUCUUACUUGAAUUACAACACUUGUCCCAUGCUCCUAGCAUGCACACAAUGUUUACCUAUGGUUCUUACUUUGUGAAAUAGAUCACAUUGAACACAUUUCCAAUCAUUCUCAUUUCACAACUCCAAAUCCUUUUUCAUAAGUGUAAGAAUAUCAAAUUCUUGCUACUUAUAGAAUAUGCUAGAUUCUAACAUUCUAUGCAAUUAUCCUUUCGUAAUGUCACUGCACCAAAGUCACAAAGACUAUUGCCAAUGAUAUUACAAAGUCCUCUAUCGGAGAUUGUUACAAGACAAUUCCAUAGAUGUGAUGUCUCUCACUCAAAGUACAUUCUUUGAACAUCCUUUUGCAUAGAAGUUUCUAAUCUAGUCAUAGAUUUCUCAAUAUUCAAUUCCCAAUAUGGACACACUUCCAUAUGUUCCAUAUGACAACUCAUUCUUAAUAGAAUCUUAUCUAUUCGUAAUGAUGUCGAUAUGGUCCAUCCAAUAUGGAAACAUUUCCAUAUUUUCCAAUACUAUACUUCCAACUACUCACAAGCGACCAAUCCUCGUCGAACUUUGGAUUGUCCUUUGAUAGUUGUUUAAUUAUUUUAGUCAAAACCAAUUCUAGUCCCUUUUCCCUCUAAAUGCGCUCGACAUUUGGAAAAUUUUAGAAUGGUCAAACAUUAAAGCAUUUGCAAUCGAUCCUAUACCCGAAGCGUAUGGGACACGACGCAUAAUGUUUUAUUUGCUAUGUUCUCAAAAUUCGAAUUGUGAAGAGGGAUGCCGUAAUCAUAAUCGAAAUUUUAAGAACACACUUUGUACCUUUGACUAAAUUUUAUUAACAUUUCUCAACCUAAACCUUUAGAUUUGAAAUGAAGCAUAAUAUUCUCUCCCUUAAUUAUAGCAAAACAACUCUUCAACUAUUGCGACUUUGCAAAGUAUGACUCUUGUUUUCUAUAAUUAAUAUUGCUAACCUUGCAAUACUUUCCUUAAUAAUCAUACAAUCAUAACUUUUAUGCUCCCACUAUCUUGAUGAUUAUUAUAAAACAUAACACUUAUGCUCCCACUAGCUUCGACAUGUAUUCAUAAACAUCUUAACUUUCAGAAAACAAUACUUAUUGAAUUUCUUAAGUUCAUGUUUCUAAUACUUAGUGCUUUGAUAAUCUUUUAUCAAGGCUUCUUGAACUUAUACACCUUUGCCUUCGAUAGUUCAUAUGUGUGUCUAAACAAUUAAGACUAAUUGCCAAACCUCACAAUUCAAAUUAUGGAAAGGGAUGCCGUAACCAUAAUUGAAUUCGAGAAUGCAAUUUUACAAUCACUAUCUUCUUAAAAUCUGUCUUAGUGAAAGCAUUUCCUCACAAUCAUUUUCAUGAAGGAGGAAAUCUUAUGACACUUAGAUUUAAACGGUGUAUUUGUUCCUAUCCAUGUGAAUUUGUCAAAACCAAAGUUUACGACAAAUUCAAACUCUUAUGGAUCGAACUUUCUUGAUCUCGAUUUCUUGCCUUUAUGGUAGCACAGCUGCCCACCAUGUCUUCCAAGUAGUUAAGCAGCUCACCCUUUCCUAUCAAUGUACCUUUCAUUGAUUAAGGUGCUUUGCCUUUUAUGCGUUCAAAAUGAGAACUCAUAGAACUCACAUGCAUAAUUAACUCGAUUGGAUUGGCACAGAAUCAAAAUAAUGUCAACACGAUAGGUUGUAAACCUCAACUCGUGUGCUAGUGAUGAUCGAUAAGGUUUAUUUGAUUUGUUCUUGAAACCUUUCAAGACCAUUAAGACUCCCACUGACUCCUUGACAUAUAAGAUUCUCUUGUCAAUAAACAUUUCUUGACAAACAAAUAUUCAAGAGUUAGUGUAGCUUUUAUCAAAACACUUCAUAAAUUGGUCCUAGUUGGUCUUUGUCUUAUCCAAGACAUCACAACUUUCCACAUUUGAUGAAUGUUAUAAACCUUCUUAAUACUUUUCACUCAAUGUCACAAUCUUAACUUUAAGACUUGUUAUUGGAACGAAGUAUGAUUGACUUCUUGAUUUAACCAUUUCUUCAAUUCUUGAUUCCUCUUCUUAGACAUACAAUUGUACUAAGACUCACUUAGAGGAUCAAUUGAGAUAUGGUUCUUAAUCAUUAAGACCUAUCAUAAAGCAUAAAAGGUACUCUCCCUUCUUCUUAGAAUGGAGAAACUUUUAUCUUUCUGCCUACUUGAUUCUUCUUAUUCGUUCUGCUAUUGAUUUAAACCUUUUCAAUCAAUUCAGAAUUACACUUAAUCUUAUAAGUAUAAUCAUAUUUACUAAACCUUUAGUAAAUCAUGACGAAUAUCUUUGUUACUCUUAUGGUGGACUUGAUCAACACGCAACUUUGUGUACUCGAUCUCCUAGUCCUUCACUUGACACUUUGUCAAUGAAUUAGUCUAAUUUCCAAAUAUGAAAUUUCUCAUUCAUCGUGCAACCAAGUUGCAUGAUUCCAAGUUUCUGUCCAAUUGAAACUUGGGCGAUGAGAAACUCUCCCUAUUUGGUAAAUUCUCGACUUUCCAUAAAUAACAUAAUAAGAACCAAAUCCAUUAUUGCUAAUAAUAGAAACAUUCAAACAUCAAUUUUUCAUAUACGCCAUUGCAAGGAUAAAUAAAUAAUAUAAAAUCAAAAUUUAUUUUAUUGCGGAAAAAUUUUUUCCUUACAAUGCAAUUCAUUGAAAAACUAUGCUAAUACAUCUUUCUUAGCAAUCUAAUUCUAACUCUAAGUAGUAGCUCAAGAAUCUAAUCUUCGAGAAAUGCGAUCGAAAUCCAUUCCUUCACGGUUAGAUUCUGCUCACUUCUUCCCUUAAGCUUCCUUUCUUUUCUUCGAUCCUACAAAACAUCAAUUGUAAUCUUAUCACAUUAUGUAUUAAGAAUCUAGAAUAGAAGCUUAAAAGAGUUAGUUAAUGGAUUUUACCUAUAUUAGAGCCAUACGUUUCGACUCUCCCAUCUCUUAGAUCUCUUAGGUAAAUGGGGCAGCUUCGUCUCCAAUGCCCUUUCUCUUGGCAAUAAAAGCAAAUUGACUCUUUUGGAACAUGACAUGGAACUACUUCAGACAUUGCCUUUCUCUUAUGAUCAAACUUUUCGAUCAUAGCAUGUCUUUCGUUGCCAUUGUCUAUAUCCAUAGAGGUCUUGAAGGCAGAUUCACCAAUCAACUUUGCUUUUCUAUUGCGCCAAACCAUUGCUGAUUCAGCAGCAAUAAGCAUAUAGGUGAGAUCUAUAAGGGUCACGUCGCGGUUCAUCAUAUAGUACUCUCUUACGAACUCACUAUAUGAGUUAGGAAGUGACUGAAGAACCCAAUCAACAGCCAUUUCCUCACAGACAACGGAUCCCAACAUUCUUAACCUAUCAAUGUGUGACUUCAUCCCUAGGACGUGUGCACACACCGACUUUCCUUCUUUAUGUUUACUUGCCAAAAGGGCUUGAGUGAUCUUGAACUUUUCAAGCCUUUGAACUUGUGGGUUAGGGAGAAUAAUUGGAGGAGGUGGAGGAAGUGAAGCAUGAUUUCUUGUUCCUCGAUCGAAUCGUGGAAUAUCAUCUUCAUGUGGAAUGCUUGUUCCACGGGAUUUGGGAAGACCAUAGUUGUCGAACUUUGACAUCUACAAAACGGGAGAAAACGAAUUCAAGUUAGUUGAUUGAUUGAGUCCUUAGUAAAUCACCCAAAUGAGAUACUAAGGCUAGGACCCAACACAAUAUUCUACAACUCGGGAGAGGGAUGCCGUAACCCAAAUUGCAGAACAUUUGAAGGUAAGUGAAUGACGAUUCACUAAUUUCCACCAUGAAAAACGAAAAAGAAAUUUAAGUUUUAAAUCUAUGAAAACUCCUAGAUCCUUUGAGAUUCAUUGAACAUUUCAAUGGCAUGUUUAAAUCUCGAUAUGCCCCUCUUGUUUGUGACUGGGAUGCCGAGGAUCACAAAGCGGGUGUGAAUAACCAUGCAAACUUACAUGGUGCCCUCACAUGUUACAGUCACCUAUUCGAUGUGCCGGUAAACCACACACGCUCCACCGAACUAUGACAAACAUUGAGUCACCCUUUGCUACCUUUGCUUAGAACCAUUUAGUGUGCCGGUAAACCACACACGCUCCACUAACGUCUUCGCAAGGGCACAAAGUGUAAUUUCAUGGAAUUGCAUCAAUUCACUUUUGCCUAAGUAACUAAGAUUGGGAAUUUUAUGAAAACAUUUAGUUACUUUUAUACUUCAUUAUACUUAUAAUGGAAGGUUUCGUCCUAUCCUACCCGUUCGGCUAACGACCCUCCACUAGUCAAGAGUGCGGUGGGUAAGAGUGGAUACCCAUUCAAUCGCCAUUUUAUAGGCAAUUUCCUUAAACACCCCUUAUAGACCAGCUUCGUGAAUGAGGCCUACUAACGGUAAGACUGACUUUUACUCAUACAUAUAUAUAAUGUUAGACUUUUAAUGUUAUAUAUAGUAUAGGGUGUAUUUUACACUUUUAAAAUACUAGGUGGUCAAAUUUAACAAUUAUACUUUUAAUUCAAUUAAAUUGUAAACCUAAACUUUUAUGGAUUUAUUAAACCUCUUUUAAUUAUACACCUUAAUUAAUUAAUAAAACCAUAAGGGUGUGAUUUGAACUUUUUCAAAACUAUACUAGAGUUUUAGAAUUUAACAUUCCUAAUUAAACUUUUAAUCAACUUUUAAAUUCCAAAACUUGAGGGCAAGUUUUGAAACAUUUCAACACAUUAGGGUUUAGAAUUUAAAUAUACAUCAAAAUUAAACUAUUUAAUCAAAAUUUAAAUUCCAAAACUUGAGGGCAAGUUUUGAAACCUUUUUCAAAACAUUAGGGUUUCAACUAUUUAAAUUUCAAAACAACAAAACUUUUGGGGUCAAAUUUAAACUAUAAAACCUAAAGGGGAAAAUAUGAAACUUUUCAUAACAACAAGGAUCAAAUAACAAAUAAUCUAAAUUAACAUUUAAUCACAUAAUUAUCCAUAUUUGAUUUAUUUAAUGAUUUCUUGCAAAACAAUUUAUCAAUUUAAUCAAAAUAAUUAAUCAAUUAUCACAUAAGGAAACAAUUAUCUUAUUAAUUGAUAAAUAUCUUCAAUUAGAUCAAAAAUAUAGUCAAAUAUAUCAUAUAAUCGGAUUAAUAUUGAUCUAACAUGAUAAGGUAACUAUCCAUAAGCAAAAACAGCAAGAAAUCCCGAAGUACCCUCCAUCUGACGAGUUGACUCGUCGAGUCAGCCUUGGACUCGUCGAGUCACCUUGGACUCGGCGAGUUCAGCCAUGGACUCGGCGAGUCCAGCCUCCAGAAACCCAAAAAAUUGAAUUUUUCAAACAUAUAAUGCAUCAAUACAAUAGAAACCAGUCUAGGCUCUGAUACCACUGAUGGGUUUUGGUCAUAAGACAUCCUAUGUGCUCAUACAAACCCUAAUGCUUGGAUCUAGGUUUCUCUAUUGUACAUGCUUUGAAUCCAAGACUAUAAACCCUAAUUCUAGCAUAUGGAAAUCAAUAUUAACAUAUAAUUAGGUUUAAGAUAUUACCUUGAUUGUUAUGUAGCAAUAACAAUCCCAAUUCCUCCUUGAAUUGACUUUGGAAGGCUUAGAGUCACAAGUGUCACUCCUCUAAUGGCUUACAAACACCAAGAGCAAAUGGAGAAGGUAUAAAGAGAGAGGAGAGGUAUAAGAAUUCGUCUCUAGGACCUCUUGGGAAGGCAUGGACGAAUUCAUGAGCCUUGAGGGUCUUUAUAUAGGUGUAGAGAUUAGGGUUUUAGUCAUUAUCCUUAUCUAGUUGCUUGCCCACCAAGUAACCAUAAGAUAAGUCUUGAAAACCCUUAUCCUAGUCGAAUUCUAAGGCCUUAUCACCUUAAAUUCGUCCAACCUAUUAAUAAGAUAAUCCUUACCUUAUUUUGUAACUAUCAC
RNAcentral lists this long non-coding RNA (7468 nucleotides) under Lactuca sativa (garden lettuce). RNAcentral describes it as "long non-coding RNA (LSAT_LNC009214)". Lineage: Eukaryota; Viridiplantae; Streptophyta; Magnoliopsida; Asterales; Asteraceae. The record is from RNAcentral.